RNAcentral lists this transfer RNA (88 nucleotides) under Laminaria rodriguezii. Its description in RNAcentral is "tRNA-Ser". It matches the Rfam family "tRNA". Rfam says of the family: Transfer RNA (tRNA) molecules are approximately 80 nucleotides in length. The record is from RNAcentral. Lineage: Eukaryota; Phaeophyceae; Laminariales; Laminariaceae.
GGAAGUGUUGCUGAGUGGUUGAAAGCCUUGGUUUGCUAAAUCAAUCUACAUUUUUAAUGUAGCGUGGGUUCGAAUCCUACCACUUCCA